CCUACGGGAGGCAGCAGUAGGGAAUCUUCCACAAUGGGCGAAAGCCUGAUGGAGCAACGCCGCGUGGGUGAAGAAGGUCUUCGGAUCGUAAAACCCUGUUGUUAGAGAAGCAAGUGCGGGAGAGUAACUGUUCACGUUUCGACGGUAUCUAACCAGAACGCCACGGCUAACUCCGUGCCAGCAGCCGCGGUAAUACGUAGGUGGCAAGCGUUAACCGGAUUUAUUUGGAGUAAAGGGAACGCAGGCGGUCUUUUAUGUCUGAUGGGAAAGCCUUCGGCUUAACCGGAGUAGUGCAUUGGAAACUGGGAGACGUGAGUGCAGAAGAGGAGAGUGGAACUCCAGGUGUAGCGGUGAAAUGCGUAGAUAUAUGGAAGAACACCAGUGGCGAAAGCGGCUCUCUGGUCUGUAACUGACGCUGAGGUUCGAAAGCGUGGGUAGCAAACAGGAGUAGAUACCCGGGUAGUC
RNAcentral lists this ribosomal RNA (465 nucleotides) under uncultured bacterium. RNAcentral describes it as "partial 16S ribosomal RNA". It matches the Rfam family "Bacterial small subunit ribosomal RNA", at positions 338 to 795 of the family's 1533-position model. The record is from RNAcentral.